GGUGAAACACUGAAGGGCUUGUCCUGGGUAGUAGCUUAUAACUGAUUCUUCUCAUUUGGAGGGCUGCCGACCUAUUCAUUAUUUAAUUGAGUAUAGUCACCUGUGGUUGGAGGAUAGAAAGGAAGGGGAUGAGGGUCAGGGGAGCCAGCAACAGGACUGCUUCUGCACUCAGCCUGCAAGCUUCUGGUAGGAGAAGAAGCCCAGGGUGAAGAAGAACUUGGCCUUCCUCUUCAGCUACUACAUGGUUUGGGGAUUGAUGUGCCUUGAAGACCCGGGUAUUGCAAUGCUCCAGCUACUCCAAAGGAGAGGAAAAAUUGAGCUCUGCAAUAGGGGUAUGAAUAUUCAGUCACAGAAGCACUCAGCAACAGACCUAAUUUUUAUUUUUGACUUCAGAAAGCUCCAAAAAUGAGAUUGAAGCUGAUAGUCUUCAAUAUAGCAUUUGCUAUUCUGGUCCCAUAGUUCACCUGUCCUGGGAAGAUAACAAUACUCAUAAUGCCCAUGAACUUACUUAGAUUUAAAUUUUCUAUGUAUUCUCUGGCUUUUCAGGUCCUGGCUUCACAUAUACUUUGUUACCAUCACCCCUUGCCACCCCUAGACCCAACAUAAUGAGAGACUACCAACCGUUCACUUUUGCCAGAGAUCUUGACUCUCUUCUCUACCUUAUCUUUAAUGAGAAUUGCUAUGACAAAGUAAAAUUGACUGGUCUUUGUUUUACUUUUUCUCCCUGCUUUGUGACUGCUCUCAUUAAGGAUCCUAUAUAAUUCUCAAAUGGGAUUAUCAGUCUUUAAAAACUGAUGAGUUGUCAAGCUUCUUGCCUUUGUUUUCUCCAAAUAAAGACCUAAAAGUGCUGAGAUGAUUCA
Vombatus ursinus (common wombat) is the source of this 860-nucleotide long non-coding RNA. Lineage: Eukaryota; Metazoa; Chordata; Mammalia; Diprotodontia; Vombatidae. The record is from Ensembl.